RNAcentral lists this ribosomal RNA (434 nucleotides) under uncultured bacterium. RNAcentral describes it as "partial 16S ribosomal RNA". It matches the Rfam family "Bacterial small subunit ribosomal RNA", at positions 29 to 507 of the family's 1533-position model. The record is from RNAcentral.
AGCGGACGCUGGCGGCAGGCCUAACACAUGCGAGUCGAACGAACCUUUCGGGGUUAGUGGCGGACGGGUGAGUAACACGUGGGAACGUGCCUUUAGGUUCGGAAUAACUCAGGGAAACUUGUGCUAAUACCGAAUGUGCCCUUCGGGGGAAAGAUUUAUCGCCUUUAGAGCGGCCCGCGUCUGAUUAGCUAGUUGGUUGAGGUAAUGGCUCACCAAGGCGACGAUCAGUAGCUGGUCUGAGAGGAUGAUCAGCCACAUUGGGACUGAGACACGGCCCAAACUCCUACGGGAGGCAGCAGUGGGGAAUCUUGCGCAAUGGGCGAAAGCCUGACGCAGCCAUGCCGCGUGAAUGAUGAAGGUCUUAGGAUUGUAAAAUUCUUUCACCGGGGACGAUAAUGACGGUACCCGGAGAAGAAGCCCCGGCUAACUUCGUG